Molecule: ribosomal RNA, 270 nt
Filed under: uncultured bacterium
Lineage: Bacteria
Description: partial 16S ribosomal RNA
Rfam family: Bacterial small subunit ribosomal RNA
Source: RNAcentral
CCGGCGACCGGCGCACGGGUGAGUAACGCGUAUGCAACCUGCCCGUUUCAGCGGGAUAACCCGGAGAAAUCCGGCCUAAUACCGCAUGUGGCCGAGGGGAGGCAUCUUCUUUCGGCCAAAGGAGGCGACUCCGGAGACGGAUGGGCAUGCGUGACAUUAGCUAGUUGGCGGGGUAACGGCCCACCAAGGCGACGAUGUCUAGGGGUUCUGAGAGGAAGGUCCCCCACACUGGUACUGAGACACGGACCAGACUCCUACGGAAGGCAGCAG